AUUGAACGCUGGCGGCAGGCCUAACACAUGCAAGUCGAACGGUAACAGGAAGCAGCUUGCUGCUUCGCUGACGAGUGGCGGACGGGUGAGUAAUGUCUGGGAAGCUACCUGAUGGAGGGGGAUAACUACUGGAAACGGUAGCUAAUACCGCAUAAUGUCGCAAGACAAAAGAGGGGGACCUUCGGGCCUCUUGCCAUCGGAUGUGCCCAGAUGGGAUUAGCUUGUUGGUGGGGUAACGGCUCACCAAGGCGACGAUCCCUAGCUGGUCUGAGAGGAUGACCAGCCACACUGGAACUGAGACACGGUCCAGACUCCGACGGGAGGCAGCAGUGGGGAAUAUUGCACGAUGGGCGCAAGCCUGAUGCAGCCAUGCCGCGUGUAUGAAGAAGGCCUUCUGGUUGUAAAAUACUUUCAGCGGGGAGAAAGGGAGUAAAGUUAAUACCUUUGCUCAUUGACGUUACCCGCAGAAGAAGCACCGGCUAACUCCGUG
Molecule: ribosomal RNA, 490 nt
Filed under: uncultured bacterium
Lineage: Bacteria
Description: partial 16S ribosomal RNA
Rfam family: Bacterial small subunit ribosomal RNA
Source: RNAcentral